AUUUGAAAUCUCCGAUGCCUGCAUCGGCGAGUUGUAGUUGCGAGAAGCACUUUCUAGGUGGAUCGGCGGUGCCUAAGUUGCUUGGAACAGCAGGUCGCAGAGGGUGACAACCCCGUCUGUGGCGCCGCCGGCCGCUGACGAUGUGCUUUCGAAGAGUCGGGUUGUUUGGGAAUGCAGCCCAAAAUGGGUGGUAAACUCCAUCUAAAGCUAAAUACUGGCGUGAGACCGAUAGCGAACAAGUACCGUGAGGGAAAGAUGAAAAGAACUUUGAAAAGAGAGUUAAAAAGUACGUGAAACCGUUGAAAUGGAAACGAAUGGGCUCAGCAAUGCGCCGUUUGAGAUUCAGCCGGUGGGUGGGAUCGACGGCGGGUUUGCGGAUCUGAAUGGACCGCGGCCCGGUGCUCGUUUCUCCCCACCGUCGCACUUCUCUUGGGCGCGCGUCAACGUCGGUUGGGACUGGGUCUGAAAGGUGCCGGGAAGGUAGGUGUGGCCCUCCGGGUCCGUGCUGUUACAGCCCGGUUCUCUCAUGGCUCGGGCCCGACCGAGGAGUUGCAGGGCAUGCCUCCUGUGGCUAGGGUCCCCUCCCUCCGGCCGGCUGUCCAAUGCGGUGGACUGCUUGCAGUGCUCGGCGAACGCUGCCGGUCGUUGGGGUGGUGAUCUCGUACCAUGCCCUUAGGAUGUUGGCGGUCAUAUGGGUGCAUCCGACCCGUCUUGAAACACGGACCAAGGAGUCUAACAUGUGCGCGAGUCUUAGGGUGAGUGAAACCCCGAGGCGCAAUGAAAGUGAAGGCGGCCCCGGCCGCUGAGGUGAGAUCCGCUGUUGUGGCGGCGCAUCAUCGACCGACCUAUUCUACUCUUAGGAAGGUUUGAGUAAGA
Molecule: ribosomal RNA, 876 nt
Filed under: Orbicella franksi
Lineage: Eukaryota; Metazoa; Cnidaria; Anthozoa; Scleractinia; Merulinidae
Description: eukaryotic LSU rRNA
Rfam family: Eukaryotic large subunit ribosomal RNA
Source: RNAcentral